GCCAGCAGCCAUGUCGCCCUGCAACUCGCAACUGGCAGCCCCAGGUGUGAGCCUGGUCAGUACCUGGAUGGGAGACCUCCUGGGAAAAACUAAGGUUGCUGCUGGAA
RNAcentral lists this ribosomal RNA (107 nucleotides) under Atractosteus spatula (alligator gar). RNAcentral also lists the same sequence under 1 other name. The record is from RNAcentral. Lineage: Eukaryota; Metazoa; Chordata; Actinopteri; Semionotiformes; Lepisosteidae.